Malaclemys terrapin pileata is the source of this 3296-nucleotide long non-coding RNA. RefSeq lists it as uncharacterized. The transcript is spliced from 3 exons. Lineage: Eukaryota; Metazoa; Chordata; Testudines; Emydidae. The record is from RefSeq and is a predicted model, not a curated record.
CCCGGACAUUGUGAGUGCUUUACAAAUUCCCCCCGGACGCUAUUUUUAGCACAAAAAGGAGGACAUGUCCGGGUAAAUCCGGACGAAUGUGUUUAUAUGGCAGACAACAGAGAAAAAGUGAUUUGAAUCCCAAUAUUUGAGUCAUCUGUCCAAAGCAUUUCAGAGCCAGUUAUCUCGUCAUAGAAGGCAAUCAGGUUGGUCAGGCAUUAUUGCCCUUGGUGAAUCCAUGUUGACUGUUCCUGAUCACCUUCCUUUCCUCCAAGUGCUUCAAAAUGGAUUCCUUGAGGACCUGCUCCAUGAUUUUUCUGGGGACAGAGCUGAGGAUGACCAGUCUGUAGUUCCCCGGAUUCUCCAUCUUCCUGAUUUUAAAUAUGGACACUAUAUUUGCCUUUUUCCAAUCAUUCAGGCCCUUCCCCGAUCACCAAAAGUUUUCAAAGAUAAUGGCCAAUGGCUCUGCAAUCACAUCAGCCAACACCCUCACCACCCCCUGAUUCAUUAGAUCCGGCCCCAUGGACUUGUGCAUGUCCAGCUUUUCUAAAUAGUCCUUAACCUGCUCUUUCUAUGAUUCUAGAUUGGGUAUGUCUACUCAAAUUUCUGUCACACCCUGUGACUGCAAUAUAGACAUACCCAGAGACCAAAGAUUGACUGAGCAUGGAGGGUACUGCGGGUCCUCGAGGGGAGGGAGGAGCAGCCCGGGACCCCCGUUGGUGCUGGGGGCAGCAACAGAUGGUGGUGCAUGGCCCGGGACUCCCACUGGUGCUGGGGGUGGUGUUGGCAGGGCCACCACGCUCCCUACCCGGCUCUGUGCCUCCCCGGAAACAGCAACAUCACUCAGUUCCUAGGCAGAGGAGAGGCCACACAGUUCUGCAUGCUACCUCUGUCCCAAGCACUGGAGCUGCAGCUCCCAUUGGCUGGGAACCACGGUCAAUGGGAGCUGCAGGAGCAGUGCCUGCAGGCAGAGGCAGCGCGCAGAGCCCCCUGGCCGCGCCUCCGCCUAGGAGCUGUGGGAUGUCCCUGCUUCUGGGGAGCCCCCCUCCCAAAGUAAGCACCACCCAGAGCUCUCACCCCCUACCGCACCCCACCCAAAGCCUGAGCCCCCCCCCCAAACUCCUGCUGCUGCUGGGGAGGGGGCACAGUGGUCCGAGACUGCCCCAGCAGCAGUCGAUAUGGCUGCCUGAGCUGUUCAGGUCGCCUUCGGGCCAGCCACACCAGUCGCUUCAGAAGUCACAGAGGUCACAGAAAGUCACGGAAUCCGUGACUUCCAUGACAAACUCGCAGCCUUAAUUAUCGGUAAUAUCAGUAAACAUCUAUUUCACUGUACACACACAACCAACAAAAAAUAUUUCCCUCAAUAAUAGUUGAAACUUACACGUAGGCAAAGUAAGAAAAAUGCUGCUUGAGAACUUAUUAGAGUUUCAUUUAAAGGGAUUUGCUUUGUAUAUCUUGACCGGUGAUGUUGAGAAUUUGUGUUUUCAUGGUUAUAAAGCUUUAACUUUUUGAAUCUCAACAUUCACUGCCAUUAAACAACUACUGUCUGACCUCCCCCACAUAAUUUCUCAGAACUGUAAAAAUUUAAAUCAAUGAAAAAAUUAAAAAUGCUUAAUUUAUAAUUUUGUGCAUCUGUGAAAAUUUAAAUGGAUUAAAAAUGUUUAAAAUUAAGAUUUAUUUGUACUCAUGUGAAGGUAGAAGUGUCUGACGCCUACUUGAAGAUGGAUUUUAAAUGACGAAUUCCUUCUCUUCCACUGAUUUUUGAGAAGGGCAGAAUUAUUUAGAUAAUGAGGCUUUGUAGACUUCCACAGAUUGCAUAUAAAAUGUAUAGGAUUUGCUAUAUAUCGUAUAAAAUAUUAUGAAUUAUUUAGAUAAUACUCUAAAGGGAGCUCUAAAUGUGCAACAGGAAAACAGAGCACACUUAAUUUAAAUACACAUAUGUAAUCUGUAAUUUGUCUUUUUUUGUUAAUUAAGACAACAAAAUCCAAAUCAACAAACAAGUAUCAGUUUGCUACUAAAUGAUCUAUUCAUUCCUCAUGUACCUGGACUUCUCAAGGGUCCUUGACACCAUUGAGCACUCCCUAUUUCUUGAAAUACUGACAGCCAUUGGCUUUCAUAGCUCCAUUCCCUCAUGGCUCUCUUCCUACCUUUCUGAUUGUACCUUCAGUGUCUGGUUUGUUGGCUCCACACUGUACAUUUUACAGGGCUCUGUUCUUGGUUCACUCCUCUUCUGUCUCUAUAACUGCUCUCUAGAUUAUUUUAGCCCCUUUCAUGGCUUUGAUCACUAUGUCUAUGCUGCCCUCCAUCUAAGUCCGGCAGCUCACUUGGCUCUCUGACAUCUCUUUCUGGAUGUCCUUUCAGCUGUUACCAAAUAUCUUCUUGAUUUACUCACAUCUUCCCUCCUACUCUGACAUUUCUUCAUUUUUGACCCCUUAAAAAUAUGUUUUUGUGGGUUUUUUAGGUUCCUACAAAACUUAGCCCCACGCCACCUAUUAUAUCAGUAAUCUUAUAGUGUCACUGACUAUCAGCUUUGCUUCAUCAACAUUGCCAGCCUUUAACGACCUAUUAAUCCUCAAGAACUUCAGGGCUUUAUCCCACACUGCCCUUAAUGUAUGUAAUAAACUCCCCAAAGAAAUGUGUAAAGCUGCCACCUUUUUCAGCUCUCUCGGUAAAGCUCCUUUGGGCUAUGAUGCCAACAGAACCUUGCCAGUUGAUGAAAGCAAGGCAGGUGGUGAGCCACAUUGUGAACACAGAUACUCUGUGCAAAAACAUACUUGUUUUACUAUGGACACUCCCCACAACACACCCCACCAUUUGUGUGGUAUUUAUUGUAAGCCCUUUGCGGCAGGGGUGGUCAUUGUACUGUGUGUUUGUACAGCACCUAACAAAUUAAGGCCCUGAUCCCUGAUGGGGGCCCAAGUCUAAGAGCCGCUGCAAUACUAAGGAAUAGAAAUAAUAAUCUGGCUUCCUUUGAUUUGGUCAGAAAGACUACUCAAAACAUCUCAUUUUGAACUGCACCUUAACUGACAAGUUCAGCCUAAUAGGGUAAAACUACUAUUCCUUGCCAAAUGAGACCCCCAGUCACCUCAGUGGGAGCCUGGGUGCAGGUGGAUGACAGUGCUGAGACUACAUGGUAUAUUCACCUUUCAAGUAGCAACGUUUCUGGAAAAUAAUGUGAUAUUUAAAAAAAAUACAAUUGUUUUAUUGUAGAUGAUAUUUUAUUUAGGUUUGUUGACCCUCUUCUUCCUGCUUUAGACCAUUGGCUGGCUGCUAAAAUAGGAUUCUGUAAAAAGCUAUUAAAAAAAACA